AGUCCUUCGCCGUCCCUCGCCGUCCUUCGCCAUCGCACGCCACCGCACCCCAUCUCUCGAAAUCUGCAGACAUCUUGAUUUUUCCCACGCUGUCUGUCAGGUCUCCGCCGCCACUCGACGCCAGGGCGCCGGGCCUUGUGGGCUGUGCUGCACCUCGGACGGCUUCGCACCAGCCAGCGCCCUCUCUCUCCUGCAGCACUCUGAUCUGCACCCCCUGAGGGGCUUCCACUGUCCGCGGGGUGAGAAUGCCCCUGGGAGUGUCACAUGACUGCCGCCCCAUGUGUGUGAGAGGCGUCCUCUGGGAGAGCAUGGAUCCUGAGGUCCCAGGAACAUCCCGAGAGCCAAGUUCCCAGAUGCCAGCCAAGGGCCAUCUGACCUGUUUUGAAUCUCAAUUUCCUGAUACAGAAAACAAAGGAUUGUCAGCUGACCUCUGUCCUGUGUGCCCAGUGGCCCCAGGUGACGUGUCUUCAAGAAGAGGCUGAGCUGCGGUGCUUGUAAGGCAGGGUCUCAUUCUGUCACCCAGGCUGGAGUGCAGUGGUGCAAUGAUGGCUCACUGCAGCCUCGACCUGGGCUCAAGUGAUCCUCCACCUCAGCUUCCUGAGUAGCUGGGACCACAGAGUCAUGUGCUGUUCCUGGGGCUUGGAUGAUGUAGGGGAAGCAAGGUGAAAGUGGUAUCCCGUGGUUCCACGUUCUGUCCUGCUGUGGGGCUGUCCCUCACAUGCUUUCAGUGGCUGUUGCAGAGGAAGAGCCUCCGGAAAUCUGCGUCUCAGCCUUAGAUCCAAGGACAGUCCAAGGAAGUCCUAAGACCAUGGAGUUGGUGAUCUGGGAUCUGGGUUUGCUGAUAUUUCUCACCGUGAAUCUCUUGGUGGUGUUUGUGGGCACGAGAGGGGCAGAGAAUGGAGAGUGAGGCUACCACAUGAAGCGUCACCAGAGCUGCUCCCUGCUGCCUGCUCAGAGCACCCCGGAUCCACUGUUCAAUCUGCACAAGAUUCGGGGUCCAGACAUGGGAGACUUCAGCUGCCUCAGAGGACCGUGGACAGGGAAGGCCAGCCUCGCAUCCCUCUGUCCAUGCCUGGAAUGACUUUAAUAACCAAGAGUUUUAUUUUUGAAUUUGUAGCUGUCGUUCACUUUUUACCCACCCAUUCAAUAAACCUUACAGAAUUGCUCCA
Molecule: long non-coding RNA, 1169 nt
Filed under: Homo sapiens (human)
Lineage: Eukaryota; Metazoa; Chordata; Mammalia; Primates; Hominidae
Description: small nucleolar RNA host gene 17, transcript variant 34 (SNHG17)
Source: RNAcentral